GAUGAACGCUGGCGGCGUGCCUAAUACAUGCAAGUCGAGCGAACAGACGAGGAGCUUGCUCCUCUGACGUUAGCGGCGGACGGGUGAGUAACACGUGGAUAACCCACCUAUAAGACUGGGAUAACUUCGGGAAACCGGAGCUAAUACCGGAUAAUAUAUUGAACCGCAUGGUUCAAUAGUGAAAGACGGUUUUGCUGUCACUUAUAGAUGGAUCCGCGCCGCAUUAGCUAGUUGGUAAGGUAACGGCUUACCAAGGCAACGAUGGGUAGCCGACCUGAGAGGGUGAUCGGCCACACUGGAACUGAGACGCGGUCCAGACUCCUACGGGAGGCAGCAGUAGGGAAUCUUCCGCAAUGGGCGAAAGCCUGACGGAGCAACGCCGCGUGAGUGAUGAAGGUCUUCGGAUCGUAAAACUCUGUUAUUAGGGAAGAACAAAUGUGUAAGUAACUAUGCACGUCUUGACGGUACCUAAUCAGAAAGCCCCGGCUAACUACGUG
This 497-nucleotide ribosomal RNA is filed under the name uncultured bacterium. RNAcentral describes it as "partial 16S ribosomal RNA". It matches the Rfam family "Bacterial small subunit ribosomal RNA", at positions 28 to 507 of the family's 1533-position model. The record is from RNAcentral.